Molecule: ribosomal RNA, 468 nt
Filed under: uncultured bacterium
Lineage: Bacteria
Description: partial 16S ribosomal RNA
Rfam family: Bacterial small subunit ribosomal RNA
Source: RNAcentral
GACGAACGCUGGCGGCGUGCUUAACACAUGCAAGUCGAACGGAAAGGCCCUGCUUUUGUGGGGUGCUCGAGUGGCGAACGGGUGAGUAACACGUGAGUAACCUGCCCUUGACUUUGGGAUAACUUCAGGAAACUGGGGCUAAUACCGGAUAGGAGCUCCUGCUGCAUGGUGGGGGUUGGAAAGUUUCGGCGGUUGGGGAUGGACUCGCGGCUUAUCAGCUUGUUGGUGGGGUAGUGGCUUACCAAGGCUUUGACGGGUAGCCGGCCUGAGAGGGUGACCGGCCAAAUUGGGACUGAGAUACGGCCCAGACUCCUACGGGAGGCAGCAGGGGGGAAUAUUGCACAAUGGGCGGAAGCCUGAUGCAGCAACGCCGCGUGCGGGAUGACGGCCUUCGGGUUGUAAACCGCUUUCGCCUGUGACGAAGCGUGAGUGACGGUAAUGGGUAAAGAAGCACCGGCUAACUACGUG